AGUGAACGCUGGCGGUAGGCCUAACACAUGCAAGUCGAACGGCAGCACAGUAAGAGCUUGCUCUUACGGGUGGCGAGUGGCGGACGGGUGAGGAAUACAUCGGAAUCUACUUUUUCGUGGGGGUUAACGUAGGGAAACUUACGCUAAUACCGCAUACGACCUACGGGUGAAAGCAGGGGAUCUUCUGACCUUGUGCGAUUGAACGAGCCGAUGUGGGAUUAGUUAGUUGGCGGGUUAAUGACCCACCAAGGCGACGAUCCGUAGCUGGUCUGAGAGGAUGGUCAGCCACACUGGAGCUGAGACACGGUCCAGACUCCUACGAGAGGCAGCAGUGUGGAAUAUUGGACAAUGGGCGCAAGCCUGAUCCAGCCAGACCGCGUGGGUGAAGAAGGCCUUCGGGUUGUAAAGACCUUUUGCUGGGAAAGAAAAGCAGCAGGUUAAUACCCCGCUGUUCUGACGGUACCCAAAGAAUAAGCACCGGCUAACUUCGUG
Molecule: ribosomal RNA, 492 nt
Filed under: uncultured bacterium
Lineage: Bacteria
Description: partial 16S ribosomal RNA
Rfam family: Bacterial small subunit ribosomal RNA
Source: RNAcentral